This is an RNA transcript of Hibiscus syriacus, 2946 nucleotides long. RefSeq lists it as uncharacterized. The record is from RefSeq and is a predicted model, not a curated record. NCBI's taxonomy places the organism in Eukaryota, Viridiplantae, Streptophyta, Magnoliopsida, Malvales, Malvaceae. The transcript is spliced from 3 exons.
UUCUGCAUAUAUUCACCCUUUAAAGCCAUGUCUUCACUUUCCACCGCCACCUUUAACUGACACCAAUACACCACCUUAUCAUAUAUAUAUAACUCUCCAAUGGCUUCCACCGUCUCUCUGCCUCCAACUGACCCUUCAUCUUUUUCCACUGAAGACCCAGCUGCCAAAGCCCUCAACAAGCGAUACCAGGGCCUCAUCACGGUUCGAACCAAGGCCACCAAGGGUAAGGGAGCUUGGUACUGGGCUCACCUCGAACCGAUCCUCGUUCGGAACCCGGAGAGCAGCCUCCCCAAAGCCGUUAAACUCAGGUGUUCCCUCUGCGACGCCGUUUUCUCCGCCUCGAACCCGUCCCGGACGGCUUCCGAGCACUUGAAACGCGGCACCUGCCCCAAUUUCAGCUCCGGUUUGAGACCCGGUUCGUCGUUGUCUCCGUUGCCUAUAUCUUCGUUAGCUUCCCCUUCUUCUGUUUCGUAUCAUCAUAAUCAUCGAAAGCAAAGUCCAUCGGCGGCGGCUGUCUCCGUUUUGCAAAUCCAAGUUAGUAAUAACGGUAACGAUGACGAUGAUAAUAAUAAUAAUUGUAAUAGCAACUCGUUGGCUAUAGUCGAGUCCACUCGUUUUCUGGGCUACUCGAGCCAUAGUAAUAACAAAUACAAUGCUGGGUUGAAUCAGCAUCGUUUGGUCCUAUCUGGUGGGAAAGAAGAUUUGGGUGCCUUGGCAAUGUUGGAAGAUAGUAUUAAGAAGCUUAAGAGUCCUAAAAUUUCCCCAGGUCUAGCUUUAAGCAAGGGCCAGAUAGAUUCUGCACUUGAUUUAUUAGCUGAGUGGUUCUAUGAGUCUUGUGGCUCGGUUUCCUUUUCUAGCCUGGAGCACCCAAAGUUUCGGGCUUUCCUUAACCAGGUUGGGAUGCCAGCUAUUUCGAGAAGGGACCUCUCAGGUGCUCGGCUCGAUAAUAAGUUCCACGAGGCGAAGAGCGAUUCCGAGGCUAGAAUUAGGGAUGCAAUGUACUUUCAAGUUGCUUCUGAUGGGUGGAAGAGUAGAAGUUGUUGUGGUUGCAGUAGUUAUACUGGUACUACUAGCAGCUCUGGCUGCGUGGAGGAGAAUUUUGUUAAAUUCAGUGUUAAUCUUCCAAAUGGGAGCAGCUUGUACCAGAAGGUGGUCUUUACCAAUGAACCGGUUACUUCCAAGCAGGCUGAGGAGGUCUUGUGGGAGACGAUAAUGAGGAUAUCCGGAAGUGGUAUUCAGAAAUGUGUAGGGAUUGUUUCGGAUCAUAAGGCGAAGGCAUUGAGGAAUUUGGAGAUUCAGAAUCAUUGGAUGGUUAAUCUAUCUUGUCAGCUUCAAGGUUUUAUUAGUUUGAUAAAGGAUUUUAGCAAAGAGCUUCCCCUUUUCAGGACUGUCACCGAGAAUUCCUUAAAGAUAGCGAGUUUUCUUGACAAUAACUUGCAAGUUAGAAACAGGUUUCAAAAGUAUAGUAUGCAGGAGCUUGAGUCUGCUGGGUUGAUACGGGUUCCUUCAAACAAAUGUCAUUGCAGCAGUAAUAUUGCACGUGCUUUUGCAAUGAUGGAGGACAUAUUUAGCUGUUCGCAAGUGCUUCAGAUGCUCGUAUUGGAUGAUUCUUACAAGGGGAUUUGUAUCGAGGAUCCCGUCGCUAGGGAAGUUGCUGGGAUUGUCCAAAAUGAAGGGUUUUGGAAUGAUUUAGGGGCAGUUUAUGCACUGGUUAAGUUGAUCAAAGGUAUGGCUCAUGAGAUUGAGAUGGAAAGGCCAUUGAUUGGGCAAUGCCUCCCUCUUUGGGAGGAGUUGAGGGUCAAAGUGAAGGAAUGUUGUACCAAGUUCAACGUAGCUGAAGCUCCUGUUGAGAAAAUUGUUGAAAAGAGAUUUAGAAAGAACUACCACCCUGCAUGGUCAGCUGCAUUUAUACUUGAUCCACUUUACUUGAUACGGGAUACAAGCGAAAAAUACCUUCCACCCUUCCGGUUUUUGACUCGUGAGCAGGAGAAGGAUGUUGACGAGCUCAUCACUCGUUUGGCUACCAAGGAAGAAGCACAUGUUGCACUGAUGGAGCUCAUGAAAUGGAGAUCAGAAGGGUUAGAGCCACUAUAUGCUCAAGCUGUUCAGGUUAAACAGCGAGACUCCGUGACUGGAAAAAUGAAAAUUGCUAACCCACAGAGCAGUAGGCUGGUUUGGGAAACAUGUCUUAGCGAAUACAAAUCAUUAGGAAAGGUUGCGGUGAGGCUUAUCUUCCUACAUGCAACAUCUAGCAGGUUUAAACAUAACUGGUCUUUGAUGAAGUGGAUUUGUGUCCACCGACACUCACGGAUAGGCCUUGAAAGGGCUCAGAAGAUGAUAUUCAUUGCAGCUCAUUCAAAGCUUGGCAGGAGGGAUUUCUCCAAUGAGGAAGAAAAAGAUGCAGAUCUGUUCAUGAUCGGCCGUGAGGAUGAUGUCCUCAAUGAAGUUUUUGCAGAUGCGCCAUAAGUAUAUUCAGUUGAGCUUGUGGUGAAUCAGAUUUUAUUUUCCAACCAAAAGGGUCAACCUCAGAUGAACUUGGGAGCGUAUCUUCGUUGCUGGAGGGCACUUCUUGCCAAUAUGACUAGGGCUGUCUGGUUUCGACAAUGUGUGAACCCCACUACGAGGAGUGGACGUCUGUCUCAUCGUAGUCAAGGAAAACUUUUGCGGGGCUAUCAAUAUAGCUGCUAUAAAGUUUUUGAGCAAAGAAGAAGCAAAGAGGCCUGUCGGUUUUGGGAGGCACACAAUGGCUGAUAGGGAUAUCACAACGAACUUGACCUGAUUUUGUAGGCUCUAUAUUUCUGUGAGCAUUGUUGACUAACUCAGCAGGUUAGUGGUAUCAGUGGUAUUCAUAUAGUUCCAUAUAUCAAAAGUUUCUUUACUAUUUUGGUUGUCAUGGACUCAUGGGCAUGUAUCCAUGCAUGAUGCAAUCAACUAUGAAAUGUUAUU